Molecule: long non-coding RNA, 524 nt
Filed under: Betta splendens (Siamese fighting fish)
Lineage: Eukaryota; Metazoa; Chordata; Actinopteri; Anabantiformes; Osphronemidae
Description: lncRNA (ENSBSLG00000011054.1)
Source: RNAcentral
ACGCUUUCCUCUUAAUAAACCAAUUGGAUGGUAAUUUCAAACAUUGUUUCUCAUACAGUAAAGGACCCUUGAUCCAUAAAUCCUCAGUUACAGUAAGAUUAACACUUUCCCCAGCUUAGCGCCACCAUGCAGACUAGUCAGUGGGUCUGCCCGGUGCGGUGGGCUGAUCCAAGACAGUUAGUGGCUAUAGAACGUCAGGUUUUGCUUUCACCGCUGCAAAUUUAAUUGCUGUGUGGUGUCAAUGAGACCUGGAACAUGAACCAUGUGUGACUACUUCAGCUGUUUCUGGAAUGGCAUGAAAGUGCAGAUCUUCCAGCUAGGCUGCAAUGUACUAUCCCAUUGCAUAAAGGUAAAGAUGCAAACUGUUUGCUUUCAGAGUAUGCUUUUGCUGCAUGAGGGGAUUUUGCUCUACAUUCCAGUUUCCCUGUGGCUCUUUAAGGUGCUAGAACACCCUGCUGUUGGUCAUCUUUGAUGCCCUUCUCUGACCUUCUGCACUGAUGAAACAAUCAUUGAAGUACAUGCUG